UGUGGCAGAAUAGUGCAAUAAAUUUAAGAUUUAUUUAUAAAGUCAUAUUUCUUUAGAAA
Molecule: transfer RNA, 59 nt
Filed under: Eropterus sp. UPOL A00546
Lineage: Eukaryota; Metazoa; Arthropoda; Insecta; Coleoptera; Lycidae
Description: tRNA-Leu
Source: RNAcentral